CAGCAGUCGCCGCGGUAAUGCGAAGGGUGCAAGCGUUAAUCGGAAUUACUGGGCGUAAAGCGUGCGUAGGCGGUGAGUUAAGUCUGCUGUGAAAUCCCCGGGCUCAACCUGGGAAUGGCAGUGGAUACUGGCUCGCUAGAGUGUGUCAGAGGAUGGUGGAAUUCCCGGUGUAGCGGUGAAAUGCGUAGAGAUCGGGAGGAACAUCAGUGGCGAAGGCGGCCAUCUGGGACAACACUGACGCUGAGGCACGAAAGCGUGGGGAGCAAACAGGAUUAGAUACCCCCGUAGUCCCUGUCUCUUAUAA
Molecule: ribosomal RNA, 304 nt
Filed under: uncultured bacterium
Lineage: Bacteria
Description: partial 16S ribosomal RNA
Rfam family: Bacterial small subunit ribosomal RNA
Source: RNAcentral